UACGUAGGUGGCGAGCGUUGUCCGGAUUUACUGGGCGUAAAGAGCGCGCAGGCGGCUGGUCAAGUCCGAUGUGAAAGCUCCCGGCUUAACUGGGAAAUUGCAUCGGAAACUGAUCAGCUGGAAGGUAAGAGAGAAUAGCGGAAUUCCCGGUAUAGUGGUGAAAUGCGUAGAUAUCAGGAGGAACACCAGUGACGAAAGCGGCUACCUGGCCCAUUCUUGACGCUAAAACGCGAAAGCUAAAAAAGCAAACAGG
This 253-nucleotide ribosomal RNA is filed under the name uncultured bacterium. RNAcentral describes it as "partial 16S ribosomal RNA". It matches the Rfam family "Bacterial small subunit ribosomal RNA", at positions 524 to 776 of the family's 1533-position model. The record is from RNAcentral.